CCUACGGGGGGCAGCAGUGAGGAAUAUUGGUCAAUGGGCGCGAGUCUGAACCAGCCAAGUAGCGUGCAGGAUGACGGCCCUAUGGGUUGUAAACUUCUUUUAUAAAGGGAUAAACUGAGGCACGUGUGCCUUUUUGCAUGUACCUUAUGAAUAAGGAUCGGCUAACUCCGUGCCAGCAGCCGCGGUAAUACGGAGGAUCCGAGCGUUAUCCGGAUUUAUUGGGUUUAAAGGGAGCGUAGGCGGGCUGUUAAGUCAGUUGUGAAAGGUCGCGGCUCAACCGUGGAAUUGCAAUGGAUACUGGGAGGCUUGAGUGCAGUUGAGGUAGGCGGAAUUCGUGGUGUAGCGGUGAAAUGCUUAGAUAUCACGAAGAACUCCGAUUGCGAAGGCAGCUUACUAAACUGCCACUGACGUUGAGGCUCGAAAGUGUGGGUAUCAAACAGGAUUAGAUACCCGUGUAGUC
RNAcentral lists this ribosomal RNA (460 nucleotides) under uncultured bacterium. RNAcentral's name for it is "partial 16S ribosomal RNA". It matches the Rfam family "Bacterial small subunit ribosomal RNA", at positions 338 to 795 of the family's 1533-position model. The record is from RNAcentral.